AUCCAUUUGAACAGUCUCAAACAGGACGAAACGCGUGUCCUCCAU
RNAcentral lists this non-coding RNA (45 nucleotides) under Schistosoma mattheei. Lineage: Eukaryota; Metazoa; Platyhelminthes; Trematoda; Strigeidida; Schistosomatidae. The record is from RNAcentral.